Molecule: ribosomal RNA, 408 nt
Filed under: uncultured bacterium
Lineage: Bacteria
Description: partial 16S ribosomal RNA
Rfam family: Bacterial small subunit ribosomal RNA
Source: RNAcentral
GACGAACGCUGGCGGCGUGCUUAACACAUGCAAGUCGAACGAAGUGGCGAACGGGUGAGUAACGCGUAAUCAACCUGCCCUUCAGAGGGGGACAACAGUUGGAAACGACUGCUCAUACCGCAUACUGAAGGAGGGGAUUGCGUCUGAUUUGCUAGUUGGAGGGGUAACGGCCCACCAAGGCGAAGAUCAGUAGCCGGUCUGAGAGGUGGAACGGCCACAUUGGGACUGAGACACGGCCCAGGCUCCUACGGGAGGCAGCAGUGGGGAAUCUUCCGGAAUGGACGAAAGUCUGACGGAGCAACGCCGCGUGAGUGAUGGCGGCCUUCGGGUUGUAAAGCUCUGUUAGUCGGGGCGCGGUACCGGAAUAGAAAGCCACGGCUAACUACGUGCCAGCAGCCGCGGUAAUUC